This 294-nucleotide unclassified non-coding RNA is filed under the name Irpex hydnoides. RNAcentral describes it as "partial internal transcribed spacer region". The stretch from base 1 to 46 matches the Rfam family "Eukaryotic small subunit ribosomal RNA", at positions 1786 to 1831 of the family's 1831-position model. RNAcentral also lists the same sequence under 2 other names. Lineage: Eukaryota; Fungi; Basidiomycota; Agaricomycetes; Polyporales; Irpicaceae. The record is from RNAcentral.
AAGUCGUAACAAGGUUUCCGUAGGUGAACCUGCGGAAGGAUCAUUAUCGAGUUUUGAACGGGUUGUAGCUGGCCUCUCACGAGGCAUGUGCACGCCUGGCUCAUCCACUCUUAACCUCUGUGCACUUUAUGUAAGAGAAAAAAAUGGUGGAAGCUUCCAGGAUCUCGCGAGAGGUCUUCGGUUGAACAAGCCGUUUUUCUUUCUUAUGUUUUACUACAAACGCUUCAGUUAUAGAAUGUCAACUGUGUAUAACACAUUUAUAUACAACUUUCAGCAACGGAUCUCUUGGCUCUC